RNAcentral lists this RNase P RNA (421 nucleotides) under Streptomyces galilaeus. Its description in RNAcentral is "Bacterial RNase P class A". It matches the Rfam family "Bacterial RNase P class A". Rfam says of the family: Ribonuclease P (RNase P) is a ubiquitous endoribonuclease, found in archaea, bacteria and eukarya as well as chloroplasts and mitochondria. Its best characterised activity is the generation of mature 5'-ends of tRNAs by cleaving the 5'-leader elements of precursor-tRNAs. Cellular RNase Ps are ribonucleoproteins. Lineage: Bacteria; Bacillati; Actinomycetota; Actinomycetes; Kitasatosporales; Streptomycetaceae. The record is from Rfam by way of RNAcentral.
CGAGCCGGGCGGACGGCCGCGUGGAGCCCCCUGGGGCUUCCCGAGGAACGUCCGGGCUCCACAGGGCAGGGUGGUGGCUAACGGCCACCCGGGGUGACCCGCGGGACAGUGCCACAGAAAACAGACCGCCAAGGCUGUUCUCUUCUCGAAGAGGGCGGUCCUCGGUAAGGGUGAAACGGUGGUGUAAGAGACCACCAGCGCCUGAGGUGACUCAGGCGGCUAGGUAAACCCCACCCGGAGCAAGGUCAAAAGGAGCCGCUGUAAAAGGCGACUCUGCGCGGACGUUCGAGGGCUGCCCGCCCGAGUCCGCGGGUAGACCGCACGAGGCCGGCGGCAACGCCGGCCCUAGAUGGAUGGCCGUCUCCCCGGCCGCCGCGAGGCGGUUGGGCGACAGAACCCGGCGUACAGCCCGACUCGUCUG